AUUGAACGCUGGCGGCAGGCCUAACACAUGCAAGUCGAACGGUAACAGGAAGCAGCUUGCUGCUUCGCUGACGAGUGGCGGACGGGUGAGUAAUGUCUGGGAAGCUGCCUGAUGGAGGGGGAUAACUACUGGAAACGGUAGCUAAUACCGCAUAAUGUCGCAAGACCAAAGAGGGAGACCUUCGGGCCUCUUGCCAUCGGAUGUGCCCAGAUGGGAUUAGCUUGUUGGUGGGGUAACGGCUCACCAAGGCGACGAUCCCUAGCUGGUCUGAGAGGAUGACCAGCCACACUGGAACUGAGACACGGUCCAGACUCCUACGGGAGGCAGCAGUGGGGAAUAUUGCACAAUGGGCGCAAGCCUGAUGCAGCCAUGCCGCGUGUAUGAAGAAGGCCUUCGGGUUGUAAAGUACUUUCAGCGGGGAGGAAGGGAGUAAAGUUAAUACCUUUGCUCAUUGACGUUACCCGCAGAAGAAGCACCGGCUAACUCCGUG
RNAcentral lists this ribosomal RNA (490 nucleotides) under uncultured bacterium. RNAcentral describes it as "partial 16S ribosomal RNA". It matches the Rfam family "Bacterial small subunit ribosomal RNA", at positions 30 to 507 of the family's 1533-position model. The record is from RNAcentral.